Micropterus dolomieu (smallmouth bass) is the source of this 1179-nucleotide long non-coding RNA. RefSeq lists it as uncharacterized. The transcript is spliced from 3 exons. The record is from RefSeq and is a predicted model, not a curated record. Lineage: Eukaryota; Metazoa; Chordata; Actinopteri; Centrarchiformes; Centrarchidae.
CCCCGGGAAAACUGGGUCACUGCCUGCAGUCUGUGGUCACCGCGAGCUGCCUCACGUGUAUCCGCGGCCAGACGCCACACCAUCUUGACGGGAGAAAUUAUGCAAUGCGCCACGUCACGGCGCCACUCGGCCAAUGAGCGGCGACGCACGGGGGAGCGUAAACACUGGUGCACAUGGCCAGGCUGGUGAGUCCAUGUGAGAAGGGAGGACUGCAGUGCUGAUGAAGCUAUCUACUUAGAGCAACCAUCAAACUUGCCUGCAUCUCCAUCAUGGCUAAGGGAUGCCUCUGUUGUUGGAGCACAAAUGACAGCGUCGGCUCAACCACCGCGAGAUGAGCUUUAGCAUGAGACUGGGAAGAGGUGAGGAUUUGGAGAGCUAUCCACGCACCGGGAUAUCUGACAGUGCUGGACCAACUGCACACGCCCGCCACAACUUUGAAGAUCCUUUGAGUACUUUCAUAGGAAUGAUGGGCCGAUUGAUGUGAGUGAUAUUUUGGACAGGCUGAUAAACAGCAUCGCAUCAUACAAACCAGUGUAAGAAAUUCCUGUGUGUGAACAGCUGUCCCCCAUGAAAGCCUGCUGCCCCUUCACUGAAUACAUGCUGAGGAAACCUGCCUAAUUCAGAAUCAAGUUCUGGAUCCCUGCUGAUGUGGAGACGAAAUACUGUAUCUGGUCCAUGGAUGGAUCUGAGCCGCCCCGCUACUCAGAGUCUCGUGAAGAGUGUGGUUCUGAAGUUGACGGAGCCUUAUUAGGGCAAGGGUAGACAUACAACACUUUCCUACAAACUCCUGGCCAAGAAUACCGGCCCUGUUGGCACCACCGACAAGAACAAGAGGUCACUGCCUCCUUUUGCACACAAGAAAGCUCCACCGCAUGACACGAAAGUGAUGCAGAACGACAAGCCAACCCUCACCAUUUACCAGGGAAAAGAAAAGAAGAAUGUCUCCUCAGCACCAUGCACUUAUCGGUGGAUCCACAAGAUGAUGCCAAAAACAAAGCCAGGGACGGUUCACUUCUACAUCCAGACCAUGGUUGGAGUAGAUGUGAAACACAUACCAGAUUCUAAAUAAAAAGUUUAAACAAACUCUGAUAGAUCAUAGAGCAAAUACCCUAUAUACACUAUAUAUUAAAAUAGUCAUGACCGUGUUUAUUCCUUAUCGCUCAUAUUUCUCAAUAAAUA